Long non-coding RNA from Oncorhynchus mykiss (rainbow trout), 1647 nucleotides. Lineage: Eukaryota; Metazoa; Chordata; Actinopteri; Salmoniformes; Salmonidae. The record is from Ensembl.
CGGGAAAGAAAAUGCAAUUUAUACUUUGCUAGCUAAGUACUUAUCUUCAACCUAGCCUGGAUAUAUGUAUGCAUCGUGUCUGCCUCCAUCACGAUCAGUCACUUGCGAGCCUGAUACCGUGAACCACACAUAGCUAAUGUGCUUUAUACGUGUAACAUUAGCUAGGCUACUUGUUUGUUUUGCCAUUUUAUAGUUAGCUAACGGCUGCGCUAACGAACCAGAUUGCAAGCUAGUAGCUAGUCUAUUUAUGCUACCAGCUGGCUAACGGCUAACGGCUGCGCUAACGAACCAGAUUGCAAGCUAGUAGCUAGCUAUUUAUGCUACCAGCUGGCUAACGGCUAACGGCUGCGCUAACGAACCAGAUUGCAAGCUAGUAGCUAGCUAUUUAUGCUACCAGCUGGCUAGCUGUACAGUUUUUUGUUUGACAUGGCUUUCCCUGAUUCGAUAGCUGUCCACGAUGCGUUCAUUCUCCUCGCCAGCUUCUUUGCAUUGUGCCUCAAGUUUGGGUUUGCGUUUGUGGAGGCAGGCAAAACAGAUCCAAAGAACGUCUCCAAUGUCAUCUUUAAAAAUGUAGCAGACACAUUUGUCACCUUGCUGGCUUUCUUUCUCCAUGGCUAUGCAUUUGCCUUUGGGGAGCACAACGCUGUUAUCGGAACCCAAUUCUUCCUCACACUGAACAAGACAAACAUGGUAAACUUCUUCUUCAACUAUGUCCGCUGUGCUAUAGCCACUACUCUGGCACUAGGGGCUGCCAACGAGAGGACAGAACCAAUCGGCUACCUCAUAUCCGCAUACGUUUUCUCAGGAAUAAUCUACCCUCUGGCUUGUCACUGGGUCUGGGACCAGCAAGGCAUCUUCAGUCCAACCUCCACCUCCUACCCAUCACAGGACUAUGCAGGCAGCGGUGUGAUCUUCUUGCUGGGUGGUGCAGCGGCAGCUGUCUCACUGCGGGUUAUAGGAUCACGGGCUGGACGCUGGAGUCCCCAUUUCAAACGGACAGAGCACAGCCAGCCUAUGGUGGUGCUGGGAGGAUGCCUUCAAAUGCUGGGCUUCUUGGGCCUGGUGAUAGGCACUCACCCCCGUGUGUUGGAUGCUGAUGAGGGCCUGUUACUGGGGCUAGGCACUGUAAACUUGCUGCAUGCUGCUACAAGCGGAGGACUCUACGGACUAAUGAUCCAACGCAUCGAUAAGAACUACUAUGAUCUCGACAGCAUGCUCUCUGGGGCCAUUGCUGGCAUGGUGGCAGUGUGUGCAGGAGUAGACACCUACAUGCCUGGUGUGGCAGUCAUGUGUGGGGCCACUGGAUCUCUCCUCUUUAUUGGCUUUCGCCGCUUCCUCUGUGCUGUGAGGGUGGAUGACCCCCUUAACAUCAUCUCCGGGUACUUAAUUCCAGGGGCCUGGGGCUUGAUGCUUGCAGGUUUAUUCUCUGAUCAUGGGGCUCUUGGAGGACAUAUCCAGGUGUUGGGGAACAAUUGCAUUGUGGCACUGGUGUUAUUCUUCUGGGCAGUGGCUAUUAUGUACCCUCUUCUCUCCAUACUCAUGUGUUUUGGAGUGCUGCGAGUCCCCCGCUUUAUGGAGAAACAAGGAAUAGACAAAAUCAGACACACGCUAAGACACCCUCACGGCACCAGGAAGUCACUGAACUAA